RNAcentral lists this ribosomal RNA (439 nucleotides) under uncultured bacterium. Its description in RNAcentral is "partial 16S ribosomal RNA". It matches the Rfam family "Bacterial small subunit ribosomal RNA", at positions 339 to 795 of the family's 1533-position model. The record is from RNAcentral.
CUACGGGUCGCAGCAGUGGGGAAUAUUGCACAAUGGAGGAAACUCUGAUGCAGCCACGCCGCGUGGAGGAUGACACUUUUCGGAGCGUAAACUCCUUUUAUAUAGGAAGAAGAUGACGGUACUAUAUGAAUAAGCGCCGGCUAACUCCGUGCCAGCAGCCGCGGUAAUACGGAGGGCGCAAGCGUUACUCGGAAUCACUGGACGUAAAGAGCGUGUAGGCGGAUUAAAAAGUCAGAAGUGAAAUCCUAUAGCUUAACUAUAGAACUGCUUCUGAAACUCUUAAUCUAGAAUAUGGGAGAGGUAGAUGGAAUUUCUGGUGUAGGGGUAAAAUCCGUAGAGAUCAGAAGGAAUACCGAUUGCGAAGGCGAUCUACUAGAACAUUAUUGACGCUGAGACGCGAAAGCGUGGGGAGCAAACAGGAUUAGAUACCCCGGUAGUC